GAUGAACGCUGGCGGCGUGCCUAAUACAUGCAAGUCGAGCGAACGGACGAGAAGCUUGCUUCUCUGAUGUUAGCGGCGGACGGGUGAGUAACACGUGGAUAACCUACCUAUAAGACUGGGAUAACUUCGGGAAACCGUAGCUAAUACCGGAUAAUAUUUUGAACCGCAUGGUUCAAAAGUGAAAGACGGUCUUGCUGUCACUUAUAGAUGGAUCCGCGCUGCAUUAGCUAGUUGGUAAGGUAACGGCUUACCAAGGCAACGAUGCAUAGCCGACCUGAGAGGGUGAUCGGCCACACUGGAACUGAGACACGGUCCAGACUCCUACGGGAGGCAGCAGUAGGGAAUCUUCCGCAAUGGGCGAAAGCCUGACGGAGCAACGCCGCGUGAGUGAUGAAGGUCUUCGGAUCGUAAAACUCUGUUAUUAGGGAAGAACAUAUGUGUAAGUAACUGUGCACAUCUUGACGGUACCUAAUCAGAAAGCCACGGCUUACUACGUG
RNAcentral lists this ribosomal RNA (497 nucleotides) under uncultured bacterium. RNAcentral describes it as "partial 16S ribosomal RNA". It matches the Rfam family "Bacterial small subunit ribosomal RNA", at positions 28 to 507 of the family's 1533-position model. The record is from RNAcentral.